AGUGAACGCUGGCGGUAUGCCUAACACAUGCAAGUCGAACGGCAGCACAGUAAGAUCUUGCUCUUACUGGUGGCGAGGGGCGGACGGGUGAGGAAUACAUCGGAAUCUACUUUUUCGUGGGGGAUAACGUAGGGAAACUUACGCUACUACCGCAUACAACCUACGGGUGAAAGCAGGGGAUCUUCGGACCUUGCGCGAUUGAAUGAGCCGCUUUCGGAUUAGCUAGUUGGCGGGGUAAAGGCCCCCCAAGGCAACGAUCCGUAGCUUGUCUGAGAGGAUGAUCAGCCAAACUGGAACUGAGACACGGUCCAGACCCCUAGGGGAGGCAGCAGUGGGGAAUAUUGGACAAUGGGCGAAAGCCUGAUCCAGCCAGACCGCGUGGGUGAAGAAGGCUUUCGGGUUGUAAAGCCCUUUUGUUGGGAAAGAAAAGCAGCAGGUUAAUACCCCGCUGUUCGGACGGUACCAAAAGAAUAAGCACCGGCAACCUUCGU
This 491-nucleotide ribosomal RNA is filed under the name uncultured bacterium. RNAcentral describes it as "partial 16S ribosomal RNA". It matches the Rfam family "Bacterial small subunit ribosomal RNA", at positions 29 to 506 of the family's 1533-position model. The record is from RNAcentral.